AGCAGCCGCGGUAAUUCCAGCUCCAAUAGCGUAUAUUAAAGUUGUUGCAGUUAAAAAGCUCGUAGUUGAAUUUCGGGACCAAUUUGUUGGUCGUGCCUCGGUACGUACUGGUAUUAUUGGUUUCUCCCUUCUGAAGAACCAUGAUGCCAUUAAUUUGGUGUCGUGGGGAAUCAGGACUGUUACUUUGAAAAAAUUAGAGUGUUUAAAGCAGGCAUACGCUUGAAUACAUUAGCAUGGAAUAAUGAAAUAGGACGUUUGAUUCUAUUUUGUUGGUUUCUAGGAUCGACGUAAUGAUUAAUAGGGAUAGUUGGGGGCAUUAGUAUUCAAUUGUCAGAGGUGAAAUUCUUGGAUUUAUUGAAGACUAACUACUGCGAAAGCAUUUGCCAAGGAUGUUUUCAUUAAUCAAGAACGAAAGUUAGGGGAUCGAAGACGAUCAGAUACCGUCGUAGUCUUGACCAUAAACUAUGCCGACUAGGGAUCGGAUGAUGUUAAUUUUUAAUGACUCAUUCGGCGCCUUACG
Molecule: ribosomal RNA, 520 nt
Filed under: uncultured Glomus
Lineage: Eukaryota; Fungi; Glomeromycota; Glomeromycetes; Glomerales; Glomeraceae
Description: SSU rRNA
Rfam family: Eukaryotic small subunit ribosomal RNA
Source: RNAcentral